This 253-nucleotide ribosomal RNA is filed under the name uncultured bacterium. RNAcentral describes it as "partial 16S ribosomal RNA". It matches the Rfam family "Bacterial small subunit ribosomal RNA", at positions 524 to 776 of the family's 1533-position model. The record is from RNAcentral.
UACAGAGGUCUCAAGCGUUGUUCGGAUUCAUUGGGCGUAAAGGGUGCGUAGGUGGCGGGGUAAGUCAGGUGUGAAAUCUCGGGGCUCAACCCCGAAACUGCACUUGAUACUGCCUUGCUCGAGUACUGGAGAGGAGAUUGGAAUUUACGGUGUAGCAGUGAAAUGCGUAGAUAUCGGGAGGAACAUCAGUGGCGAAGGCGGCCUUCUGGUCCAGUACUGACACUCAAGUGCGAAAGCGUGGGGAGCAAACAGG